Molecule: ribosomal RNA, 223 nt
Filed under: uncultured bacterium
Lineage: Bacteria
Description: partial 16S ribosomal RNA
Rfam family: Bacterial small subunit ribosomal RNA
Source: RNAcentral
UAACACGUGAGUAAUCUGCCCUUCACUUCGGGAUAACCGCCGGAAACGGUGGCUAAUACCGAAUACGACGCGCUCUCGCAUGGGAUGCGCGUGGAGAGUUUUCUCGGUGAAGGAUGUGCUCGCGGCCUAUCAGCUUGUUGGUGAGGUAACGGCUCACCAAGGCUUCGACGGGUAGCCGGCCUGAGAGGGUGACCGGCCACACUGGGACUGAGACACGGCCCAG